CCUACGGGGGGCUGCAGUGAGGAAUAUUGGUCAAUGGGCGCGAGCCUGAACCAGCCAAGUAGCGUGAGGGAUGACUGCCCUGCGGGUUGUAAACUUCUUUUAUCAGGGAAUAAAGUGAGGCACGUGUGCCUGUUUGUGUGUACUUGAUGAAUAAGGAUCGGCUAACUCCGUGCCAGCAGCCGCGGUAAUACGGAGGAUGCGAGCGUUAUCCGGAUUUAUUGGGGUUAAAGGGAGCGGCGGUGGGUUGUUAAGUCAGUUGUGAAAGUGUGGGGCUCAACCGUAAGAUUGCAAUUGAUACUGGCAGCCUUGAGUACAGGUGAGGUAGGCGGAAUUCGUGGUGUAGCGGUGAAAUGCUUAGAUAUCACGAAGAACCCCGAUUGCGAAGGCAGCUUAC
This 394-nucleotide ribosomal RNA is filed under the name uncultured bacterium. Its description in RNAcentral is "partial 16S ribosomal RNA". It matches the Rfam family "Bacterial small subunit ribosomal RNA", at positions 338 to 729 of the family's 1533-position model. The record is from RNAcentral.